GCCUCGUUAGGUCAGUGGUUAGAGCACUGGUCUUGUAAACCAGGGGUCGAGAGUUCAAAUCUCUCACGGGGCU
Molecule: transfer RNA, 73 nt
Filed under: Stylophora pistillata
Lineage: Eukaryota; Metazoa; Cnidaria; Anthozoa; Scleractinia; Pocilloporidae
Description: tRNA-Thr
Rfam family: tRNA
About the family: Transfer RNA (tRNA) molecules are approximately 80 nucleotides in length. Their secondary structure includes four short double-helical elements and three loops (D, anti-codon, and T loops).
Source: Rfam by way of RNAcentral